UAGGGAAUAUUGGGCAAUGGUCGCAAGACUGACCCAGCCAUGCCGCGUGCAGGAUGACUGCCCUAUGGGUUGUAAACUGCUUUUGUACGGGAAGAAACCCCUUUACGUGUAAAGGGCUGACGGUACCGUAAGAAUAAGGAUCGGCUAACUCCGUGCCAGCAGCCGCGGUAAUACGGAGGAUCCUAGCGUUGUCCGGAUUUAUUGGGUUUAAAGGGUGCGUAGGCGGAUUACUAAGUCAGAGGUGAAAGCCGGCAGCUUAACUGUCGAAUUGCCUUUGAAACUGGUAGUCUUGAAUACUGUUGAGGUAGGCGGAAUGUAUCAUGUAGCGGUGAAAUGCUUAGAUAUGAUACAGAACACCGAUUGCGAAGGCAGCUUACUAAGCAGUUAUUGACGCUGAGGCACGAAAGCGUGGGGAUCAAACAGG
RNAcentral lists this ribosomal RNA (424 nucleotides) under uncultured bacterium. Its description in RNAcentral is "bacterial SSU rRNA". It matches the Rfam family "Bacterial small subunit ribosomal RNA", at positions 355 to 776 of the family's 1533-position model. The record is from RNAcentral.